AGCUUUUCAGUAUCAUAGCCAAUGAGGUUUAUCCCAGGAGCAAAUUGCUAAUUGAAAACUUUUCCCAAUACCCUGCCAUGACGACUGGAAAUAUAAUCAGCACUGGCAAUUUUUAACAGUCUCUAUGGAAA
This 131-nucleotide small nuclear RNA is filed under the name Dasypus novemcinctus (nine-banded armadillo). Its description in RNAcentral is "U4 spliceosomal RNA (ENSDNOG00000028591.1)". It matches the Rfam family "U4 spliceosomal RNA". Rfam says of the family: U4 small nuclear RNA (U4 snRNA) is a component of the major U2-dependent spliceosome. The structure of U4 snRNA from yeast and human has been reported. Lineage: Eukaryota; Metazoa; Chordata; Mammalia; Cingulata; Dasypodidae. The record is from RNAcentral.